Molecule: ribosomal RNA, 497 nt
Filed under: uncultured bacterium
Lineage: Bacteria
Description: partial 16S ribosomal RNA
Rfam family: Bacterial small subunit ribosomal RNA
Source: RNAcentral
GAUGAACGCUGGCGGCGUGCCUAAUACAUGCAAGUCGAGCGAACAGACGAGGAGCUUGCUCCUCUGACGUUAGCGGCGGACGGGUGAGUAACACGUGGAUAACCUACCUAUAAGACUGGGAUAACUUCGGGAAACCGGAGCUAAUACCGGAAAAUAUAUUGAACCGCAUGGUUCAAUAGUGAAAGACGGUUUUGCUGUCACUUGUAGAUGGAUCCGCGCCGCAUUAGCUAGUUGGUAAGGUAACGGCUUACCAAGGCAACGAUGCGUAGCCGACCUGAGAGGGUGAUCGGCCACACUGGAACUGAGACACGGUCCAGACUCCUACGGGAGGCAGCAGUAGGGAAUCUUCCGCAAUGGGCGAAAGCUUGACGGAGCAACGCCGCGUGAGUGAUGAAGGUCUUCGGAUCGUAAAACUCUGUUAUUAGGGAAGAACAAAUGUGUAAGUAACUAUGCACGUCUUGACGGUACCUAAUCAGAAAGCCACGGCUAACUACGUG